This 107-nucleotide small RNA is filed under the name Marmota monax (woodchuck). Lineage: Eukaryota; Metazoa; Chordata; Mammalia; Rodentia; Sciuridae. The record is from RNAcentral.
GCCGGGCACAGUGGCGCAGGCCUGUAAUCCCAGUGGCUCAGGAGGCAGAGGCAGGGGGAUUGCAAGUUUAAAGCCAGCCUCAGCAACUUAGCAAGGCCCUGUCUCUA